GGCGUGCCUAACAAUGCAAGUCGAACGAGAAAGUGGAGCAAUCCAUGAGUAAAGUGGCGACCGGGUGAGUAACACGUGACUAACCUACCUCCGAGUGGGGAAUAACUCCGGGAAACCGGGGCUAAUACCGCAUAACAUCGCAAGAUCAAAGCAGCAAUGCGCUUGGAGAGGGGGUCGCGGCUGAUUAGCUAGUUGGCGGGGUAACGGCCCACCAAGGCGAAGAUCGGUAUCCGGCCUGAGAGGGCGCACGGACACACUGGAACUGAAACACGGUCCAGACUCCUACGGGAGGCAGCAGUGGGGAAUUUUGCGCAAUGGGGGAAACCCUGACGCAGCAACGCCGCGUGGAGGAUGAAGCCCUUUGGGGCGUAAACUCCUUUCGACUCGGACGAUAAUGACGGUACGAGUGGAAGAAGCACCGGCUAACUCUGUGCCAGCAGCCGCGGUAAUACAGAGGGUGCGAGCGUUGUUCGGAAUUAUUGGGCGUAAAGGGCGCGUANGCGGUGCGGUAAGUCACCUGUGAAAUC
RNAcentral lists this ribosomal RNA (527 nucleotides) under uncultured bacterium. Its description in RNAcentral is "bacterial SSU rRNA". It matches the Rfam family "Bacterial small subunit ribosomal RNA", at positions 41 to 601 of the family's 1533-position model. The record is from RNAcentral.